Molecule: long non-coding RNA, 247 nt
Filed under: Mytilus galloprovincialis (Mediterranean mussel)
Lineage: Eukaryota; Metazoa; Mollusca; Bivalvia; Mytilida; Mytilidae
Source: RNAcentral
GUUUGAACCCUACAAAACAUGUACAUGUAUAAGUGUAAACAAUUAAGUCCAGUAAUCGGGCGUAGUUUUGCUAAAACAUGCCGUCACAUAAAUGUCAUUGAACGUCGAUUAGAGUAUCAAAAUAUUGGACGUCGAUUUGAGAAUGUGACGUCAGAUUUGGACGUUGAUUUGUGAAACGGUCGUCGAUUUGAAGAACGGACGUCGUUUAGAGGCCGGACGUCAAUCUGAGUCUAACAUAUAUAUAUAA